CCUACGGGUGGCAGCAGUCGAGAAUCAUUCACAAUGGGGGAAACCCUGAUGGUGCGACGCCGCGUGGGGGAAUGAAGGUCUUCGGAUUGUAAACCCCUGUCAUGUGGGAGCAAAUAAACAAGAUAGUACUACAAGAGGACGAGUCGGCAAACUCUGGGACAGCAGCCGCGGUAAUACAGAGGUCCCAAGCGUUGUUCGGAAUCACUGGGCGUAAGGGGAGCGUAGGCUGCUGCGUAAGUCGUAUGUGAAAGGCGAGGGCUCAACCCGCGGACUGCACAUGAUACUGCGAGACUAGAGUAAUGGAGGGGGAACCGGAAUUCUCGGUGUAGCAGUGAAAUGCGUAGAUAUCGGGAGGAACACUCGUGGCGAAGGCGGGUUCCUGGACAUUAACUGACGCUGAGGCACGAAGGCCAGGGGAGCGAAAGGGAUUAGAUACCCCUGUAGUC
RNAcentral lists this ribosomal RNA (446 nucleotides) under uncultured bacterium. RNAcentral's name for it is "partial 16S ribosomal RNA". It matches the Rfam family "Bacterial small subunit ribosomal RNA", at positions 338 to 795 of the family's 1533-position model. The record is from RNAcentral.